This 29-nucleotide non-coding RNA is filed under the name Mus musculus (house mouse). Lineage: Eukaryota; Metazoa; Chordata; Mammalia; Rodentia; Muridae. The record is from RNAcentral.
UAUAUUAAUGAGACAGCAGGGCCAAUAGC